CCAGCAGCCGCGGUAAUACGGAGGUUAUGCAAGCGUUAUCCGGAAUGAUUGGGCGUAAAGCGUCCGCAGGUGGCAAUGUAAGUCUGCUGUCAAAGCGUCUGGCUCAACCAGAUAAAGGCAGUGGAAACUACAUAGCUAGAGUAAGGUAGGGGUAGAGGGAAUUCCUGGUGUAGCGGUGAAAUGCGUAGAGAUCAGGAAGAACACCGGUGGCGAAAGCGCUCUGCUGGACCUUAACUGACACUGAGGGACGAAAGCUAGGGGAGCGAAUGGGAUUAGAUACCCCAGUAGUC
This 290-nucleotide ribosomal RNA is filed under the name uncultured cyanobacterium. Its description in RNAcentral is "partial 16S ribosomal RNA". It matches the Rfam family "Bacterial small subunit ribosomal RNA", at positions 508 to 795 of the family's 1533-position model. Lineage: Bacteria; Bacillati; Cyanobacteriota. The record is from RNAcentral.